RNAcentral lists this ribosomal RNA (1434 nucleotides) under Enterococcus sp. T56_11. RNAcentral describes it as "bacterial SSU rRNA". It matches the Rfam family "Bacterial small subunit ribosomal RNA". The record is from RNAcentral. Lineage: Bacteria; Bacillati; Bacillota; Bacilli; Lactobacillales; Enterococcaceae.
UGCAGUCGAACGCUUCUUUUCCCACCGGAGCUUGCUCCACCGGGAAAAGAGGAGUGGCGAACGGGUGAGUAACACGUGGGUAACCUGCCCAUCAGAAGGGGAUAACACUUGGAAACAGGUGCUAAUACCGUAUAACAAUCGAAACCGCAUGGUUUCGUUUUGAAAGGCGCUUUACGGUGCCGCUGAUGGAUGGACCCGCGGUGCAUUAGCUAGUUGGUGAGGUAACGGCUCACCAAGGCCACGAUGCAUAGCCGACCUGAGAGGGUGAUCGGCCACAUUGGGACUGAGACACGGCCCAAACUCCUACGGGAGGCAGCAGUAGGGAAUCUUCGGCAAUGGACGAAAGUCUGACCGAGCAACGCCGCGUGAGUGAAGAAGGUUUUCGGAUCGUAAAACUCUGUUGUUAGAGAAGAACAAGGGUGAGAGUAACUGUUCACCCCUUGACGGUAUCUAACCAGAAAGCCACGGCUAACUACGUGCCAGCAGCCGCGGUAAUACGUAGGUGGCAAGCGUUGUCCGGAUUUAUUGGGCGUAAAGCGAGCGCAGGCGGUUUCUUAAGUCUGAUGUGAAAGCCCCCGGCUCAACCGGGGAGGGUCAUUGGAAACUGGGAGACUUGAGUGCAGAAGAGGAGAGUGGAAUUCCAUGUGUAGCGGUGAAAUGCGUAGAUAUAUGGAGGAACACCAGUGGCGAAGGCGGCUCUCUGGUCUGUAACUGACGCUGAGGCUCGAAAGCGUGGGGAGCAAACAGGAUUAGAUACCCUGGUAGUCCACGCCGUAAACGAUGAGUGCUAAGUGUUGGAGGGUUUCCGCCCUUCAGUGCUGCAGCUAACGCAUUAAGCACUCCGCCUGGGGAGUACGACCGCAAGGUUGAAACUCAAAGGAAUUGACGGGGGCCCGCACAAGCGGUGGAGCAUGUGGUUUAAUUCGAAGCAACGCGAAGAACCUUACCAGGUCUUGACAUCCUUUGACCACUCUAGAGAUAGAGCUUCCCCUUCGGGGGCAAAGUGACAGGUGGUGCAUGGUUGUCGUCAGCUCGUGUCGUGAGAUGUUGGGUUAAGUCCCGCAACGAGCGCAACCCUUAUUGUUAGUUGCCAUCAUUUAGUUGGGCACUCUAGCAAGACUGCCGGUGACAAACCGGAGGAAGGUGGGGAUGACGUCAAAUCAUCAUGCCCCUUAUGACCUGGGCUACACACGUGCUACAAUGGGAAGUACAACGAGUCGCGAAGUCGCGAGGCUAAGCUAAUCUCUUAAAGCUUCUCUCAGUUCGGAUUGUAGGCUGCAACUCGCCUACAUGAAGCCGGAAUCGCUAGUAAUCGCGGAUCAGCACGCCGCGGUGAAUACGUUCCCGGGCCUUGUACACACCGCCCGUCACACCACGAGAGUUUGUAACACCCGAAGUCGGUGAGGUAACCUUUUUGGAGCCAGCCGCCUAAGG